GGGAUAUUGGGCAAUGGGGGCAACCCUGACCCAGCCAUGCCGCGUGAGGGAAUGAGGCCCCAGUGGUCGUGAACCUCUUUUGCGCGGGGACAAGGACGCGGUCGCGAACCGUGUUUGAGGGUACCGCGCGAAUAAGCAUCGGCUAACUCCGUGCCAGCAGCCGCGGUAAUACGUAGGUGGCAAGCGUUGUCCGGAUUUAUUGGGCGUAAAGCGAGCGCAGGCAGUUUUUUAAGUCUGAUGUGAAAGCCUUCGGCUUAACCGGAGAAGUGCAUCGGAAACUGGGAGACUUGAGUGCAGAAGAGGACAGUGGAACUCCAUGUGUAGCGGUGGAAUGCGUAGAUAUAUGGAAGAACACCAGUGGCGAAGGCGGCUGUCUAGUCUGUAACUGACGCUGAGGCUCGAAAGCAUGGGUAGCGAACA
RNAcentral lists this ribosomal RNA (420 nucleotides) under uncultured bacterium. RNAcentral's name for it is "bacterial SSU rRNA". It matches the Rfam family "Bacterial small subunit ribosomal RNA", at positions 358 to 774 of the family's 1533-position model. The record is from RNAcentral.